This 320-nucleotide long non-coding RNA is filed under the name Elaeis guineensis (African oil palm). RNAcentral describes it as "long non-coding RNA (EGUI_LNC002883)". The record is from RNAcentral. Lineage: Eukaryota; Viridiplantae; Streptophyta; Magnoliopsida; Arecales; Arecaceae.
GGUGGAAUUGGAGGGGAGAAAUGUGCAGGACUCGUCCGACCAAGGCGGGCCGCCCCACCGUCCCACGUUCUGCGCUUACCCGGUUCCAUGUUUCCUCCCUCCUCCUUCGCCUCAGCCCUGCCUUGCCAAUCGUCCGUUACCCUGGCAGUAUAACGGUAAUGUUGCUUCAUUGCGAAUCCUUGUUUUUUUUGUAUAUAUAUAUUUCAACAGCCAGAUCUCCGAAGUUCUAAAUUCAAACGUCUCGUCCACCUUCCACGCCGCAUACAGGGUUUGCUGAUGCUAGGAAGCAUGUACCUGGGAGCGAAUGUCAAUGAUAUCUG